RNAcentral lists this long non-coding RNA (440 nucleotides) under Pan troglodytes (chimpanzee). Its description in RNAcentral is "long non-coding RNA NONPTRT005684". Lineage: Eukaryota; Metazoa; Chordata; Mammalia; Primates; Hominidae. The record is from RNAcentral.
GAGCCAGUCUGUGGGUCCAGCCUGUGGGUCUGUCGGGAGAUUGCCUGACUCCUCAGCUCUGAGGAGGAGAUGGCCCAGGGAGCUACAGCAGGGACAAAGGCAGGGGAGUUCCUGCGCCUCUGGGAGCAGUUCAGUGACAUGGGCUUCCAGCAGGACCGGAUCAAGGAGGUGCUGCUGGUCCAUGGCAACCGCCGAGAGCAAGCCCUGGAGGAGCUGGUGGCCUGUGCCCAGUGAACACGGAGGCACUCCACGAUGCCUGGGCAUCUAGGCUCAGUGCCAGACCUGGCGACCCAUCCUAACUGUAUUAUUAAAACCAAGUAAGAGUAACAAAGUGAUGCAUACUUAUUGUAAAAACACAAAUAAUACCAAGGGUGACAGUUAACAGCAGCAGAAUCUGCUGAAAGAGUUGAAAUAGUUGCCUCUGCAGAGGGGCAGAUGGG